UGGGGGUGAAGUAUAAAUUUACGUUUCAGUUACAUUGAAAAGAUCCGCUAUGCUGUGGUGCCCUUAU
RNAcentral lists this transfer RNA (67 nucleotides) under Dermatobranchus otome. RNAcentral's name for it is "tRNA-Val". Lineage: Eukaryota; Metazoa; Mollusca; Gastropoda; Nudibranchia; Arminidae. The record is from RNAcentral.